GUCCCUGUAGCGCAGUGGAUAGCGCUUUAAACUUCCAAUCAAGGUCCUGGUUUCGAAUACCACUGGGGAUG
Molecule: transfer RNA, 71 nt
Filed under: Trichonephila inaurata madagascariensis
Lineage: Eukaryota; Metazoa; Arthropoda; Arachnida; Araneae; Nephilidae
Rfam family: tRNA
About the family: Transfer RNA (tRNA) molecules are approximately 80 nucleotides in length. Their secondary structure includes four short double-helical elements and three loops (D, anti-codon, and T loops).
Source: Rfam by way of RNAcentral